UGGGGAAUAUUGCACAAUGGGCGCAAGCCUGAUGCAGCCAUGCCGCGUGUAUGAAGAAGGCCUUCGGGUUGUAAAGUACUUUCAGCGGGGAGGAAGGGAGUAAAGUUAAUACCUUUGCUCAUUGACGUUACCCGCAGAAGAAGCACCGGCUAACUCCGUGCCAGCAGCCGCGGUAAUACGGAGGGUGCAAGCGUUAAUCGGAAUUACUGGGCGUAAAGCGCACGCAGGCGGUUUGUUAAGUCAGAUGUGAAAUCACCGGGCUCAACCUGGGAACUGCAUCUGAUACUGGCAAGCUUGAGUCUCGUAGAGGGGGGUAGAAUUCCAGGUGUAGCGGUGAAAUGCGUAGAGGUCUGGAGGAAUACCGGUGGCGAAAGCGGCCCCCUGGACGAAGACUGACGCUCAGGUGCGAAAGCGUGGGGAGCAAACAGG
This 429-nucleotide ribosomal RNA is filed under the name Chloroflexota bacterium. RNAcentral describes it as "Chloroflexi bacterium partial 16S ribosomal RNA". It matches the Rfam family "Bacterial small subunit ribosomal RNA", at positions 355 to 776 of the family's 1533-position model. Lineage: Bacteria; Bacillati; Chloroflexota. The record is from RNAcentral.